GACUCUCGGCAACGGAUAUCUCGGCUCUCGCAUUGAUGAAGAACGUAGCAAAAUGCGAUACCUGGUGUGAAUUGCAGAAUCCCGCGAACCAUCGAGUUUUUGAACGCAAGUUGCGCCCGAGGCCUUCCGGCCGAGGGCACGUCUGCCUGGUCGUCA
RNAcentral lists this ribosomal RNA (156 nucleotides) under Sorghum bicolor (sorghum). Its description in RNAcentral is "rRNA 5_8S_rRNA". It matches the Rfam family "5.8S ribosomal RNA". From Rfam's summary of the family: 5.8S ribosomal RNA (5.8S rRNA) is a component of the large subunit of the eukaryotic ribosome. It is transcribed by RNA polymerase I as part of the 45S precursor that also contains 18S and 28S rRNA. Lineage: Eukaryota; Viridiplantae; Streptophyta; Magnoliopsida; Poales; Poaceae. The record is from RNAcentral.